CCUUGACUGUGUUGUUCAGUGCCCUCACAAAGCCAGAUAGAAUCCACAAGCCACCCCAGCUGAGCUCUGUGCUCGCGGCUAAAGCUUUGCUGGAUAAAGAUGCUUCUUCAAGUCUUACAGUAAAAACCCUGCUCCUUCCAUCACAUGGUUGUAAGGAAGUUUAUUUUUAAACCUCACAACGGCAGGUCAAAGUGGUGGUAACAUUGCUAAAAAUAAUGUUGGUGUUGAAGUGAUAUCUUGGAAAACUGAUAUCCCACAAUCCUGAUGCUGCUCUGCCCACCAUUCGAGAGGUAUUGGAUUCCUCCAGCAGGCCUGGCUGUAGGGAGGAGUGGUCCUUAUUCUAAAAUGGAUUAAAUUGUUGACUUGUUGGAAAGGUGGCAUCCUAUGACGGUGCCCCGUUGAAAGAGUGUAUGGGGACAAUGACCCAACACACCUCCAGGCUGUGGAAUGGCAAUUUGACCAAGAAAGAGAGUGAUGGAGUGCUGCAUCAGAUGACCUGACCUCCACAAUCACCCAACCUCAACCCAAUUGAGAUGGUUUGGGAUGAGUUGGACCGCAGAGUGAAGGAAAAGCAGCCAACAAGUGCUCAGCAUAUGUGGGAACUCCUUCAAGACUGUUGUAAAAACAUUCCAGGUGAAGCUGGUUGAGAGAAUGACAAGAGUGUGCAAAGCUGUCAUCAAGGCAAAGGGUGGCUAUUUUGAAGAAUCUCAAAUAUAAAAUAUGUUUUGAUUUGUUUAAUACUUUUUUGGUUACUACAUGAUUCCAUAUGUGUUAUUUCAUAGUAUUGAUGUCUUCUGGGCAGCUCGUGGCUGGGCUUCCUUUUGUAAU
RNAcentral lists this long non-coding RNA (828 nucleotides) under Salmo salar (Atlantic salmon). RNAcentral's name for it is "lncRNA (ENSSSAG00000087864.1, ENSSSAG00020072640.1, ENSSSAG00075056936.1)". The record is from RNAcentral. Lineage: Eukaryota; Metazoa; Chordata; Actinopteri; Salmoniformes; Salmonidae.